RNAcentral lists this ribosomal RNA (484 nucleotides) under uncultured bacterium. RNAcentral's name for it is "partial 16S ribosomal RNA". It matches the Rfam family "Bacterial small subunit ribosomal RNA", at positions 30 to 507 of the family's 1533-position model. The record is from RNAcentral.
AUUGAACGCUAGCGGGAUGCUUUACACAUGCAAGUCGAACGGCAGCGCGGACUUCGGUCUGGCGGCGAGUGGCGAACGGGUGAAUAAUGUAUCGGAACGUGCCCAGUAGCGGGGGAUAACUACGCGAAAGCGUAGCUAAUACCGCAUACGCCCUACGGGGGAAAGCAGGGGAUCGUAAGACCUUGCACUAUUGGAGCGGCCGAUAUCGGAUUAGCUAGUUGGUGAGGUAACGGCUCACCAAGGCGACGAUCCGUAGCUGGUUUGAGAGGACGACCAGCCACACUGGGACUGAGACACGGCCCAGACUCCUACGGGAGGCAGCAGUGGGGAAUUUUGGACAAUGGGGGCAACCCUGAUCCAGCCAUCCCGCGUGUGCGAUGAAGGCCUUCGGGUUGUAAAGCACUUUUGGCAGGAAAGAAACGUCGCGGGCUAAUACCCCGUGGAACUGACGGUACCUGCAGAAUAAGCACCGGCUAACUACGUG